This 482-nucleotide ribosomal RNA is filed under the name uncultured bacterium. RNAcentral describes it as "partial 16S ribosomal RNA". It matches the Rfam family "Bacterial small subunit ribosomal RNA", at positions 30 to 507 of the family's 1533-position model. The record is from RNAcentral.
AUUGAACGCUGGCGGCAUGCCUUACACAUGCAAGUCGAACGGUAACGGGCCUUCGGGUGCCGACGAGUGGCGAACGGGUGAGUAAUACAUCGGAACGUGCCCGAUCGUGGGGGAUAACGAGGCGAAAGCUUUGCUAAUACCGCAUACGAUCUACGGAUGAAAGCAGGGGACCGCAAGGGCUUGCGCGGACGGAGCGGCCGAUGGCAGAUUAGGUAGUUGGUGGGAUAAAAGCUUACCAAGCCGACGAUCUGUAGCUGGUCUGAGAGGAUGAUCAGCCACACUGGGACUGAGACACGGCCCAGACUCCUACGGGAGGCAGCAGUGGGGAAUUUUGGACAAUGGGCGCAAGCCUGAUCCAGCCAUGCCGCGUGCAGGAUGAAGGCCUUCGGGUUGUAAACUGCUUUUGUACGGAACGAAAAGCCUUCUUUUAAUACAGGAGGGUCAUGACGGUACCGUAAGAAUAAGCACCGGCUAACUACGUG